UACGUAGGGGCAAGCGUUGUCCGGAAUUAUUGGGCGUAAAGGGCUCGCAGGCGGUUUCUUAAGUCUGAUGUGAAAUCUUGUGGCUUAACCACAAGCGGUCAUUGGAAACUGGGAGACUUGAGUGCAGAAGAGGAGAGUGGAAUUCCACGUGUAGCGGUGAAAUGCGUAGAGAUGUGGAGGAACACCAGUGGCGAAGGCGACUCUCUGGUCUGUAACUGACGCUGAGGCUCGAAAGCGUGGGGAGCAAACAGGAUUAGAUA
RNAcentral lists this ribosomal RNA (260 nucleotides) under uncultured prokaryote. RNAcentral describes it as "partial 16S ribosomal RNA". It matches the Rfam family "Bacterial small subunit ribosomal RNA", at positions 524 to 784 of the family's 1533-position model. The record is from RNAcentral.